Oryctolagus cuniculus (rabbit) is the source of this 1524-nucleotide non-coding RNA. NCBI's taxonomy places the organism in Eukaryota, Metazoa, Chordata, Mammalia, Lagomorpha, Leporidae. The record is from RefSeq and is a predicted model, not a curated record.
UUGGUCAUGCUGGGACCUGUACUUCCGGCUCAGCUCCUGGUUCCUGGUGUUGGGGGCCCGGGCUGGGGGCUUUCCCUGCCAAAGAAAAGCUGGUGAGAGUCUCAAACCCAGCGUGGACUCGCACGGUGAAUGUCAGUAGGAGGGCCAAAGCAAGGCUGGCUGCUUCCAAACAUCUCUCAAAGAUCCAUGCACCAUCACAGCUGGAAGAGCCCUUGUUAUGUGGUCCGGUGGCACUUUGCACAGAACCCUGAUACAUAAACCGGAAGAGAGCGGGACUCAGGCACUGGAGGCCGCACCAAAGUCAAGUGAGCUGGAUGCUUUCUCCCCAGGCCACCCCCGGGCCGGACACGGAGGUGCACAGAGACUGCCGUGGCCUGGUGACAGCUCACCAGCCUGAUGCCCUCACAGAGCCAAGCCCAAGACCCUUGGAAACACGAGGCGUUUCAAGUCCAGAGAACGGCCCAGGAGCAGUGCUCGUACCUGGGCUGCGGGCUGCCGCUGGCUCCGGUGCGGGUUGGCUGUUUUGGCGGUGUUGGUCACUGUGGGCACUCCGUUCACGUUCUGUUGGAACAAAGCCCAUUUUCCUGUUAGGAACAGGAGUGGAUGAGCCAGGGAAAACCUGCCCUGGGGGCUCUCUGUGGACUGCCUCCGUCGUCACAGCUUCCCACGCAGCCUCUGAGCCCGGCAGGACGUGACUGGCCUUACAGAGAGCUCACCUCCUGCGACUCCACUCGCUAAUGAGGAACCCUUCAUUUUUGUUCAACACUAAGAAAAUGGCGGGGAAAACUCUCCACGCCAAUGUCCACUGCUGGCCUGGCCUGGGACACCCCUCAAGGAGAGACGUGGCGCUCCGUGGGGAGGGGGUAAAUUCAAGCAGAUGUGUGUGGGUGGGCUUUGUGGUCCCCCAUGUGUGGCUUCCUCCUAAUAAGAUUUUUCUGCAUGGAUUCCUCCCCGACCGGCAUCCUAAGGCUGAGUGUGUGGCUCCGGGAAGUGUGGCUGGCCACACCUUGGGUUUGCGUGAAAAAUGACUGAGGUGUACUUUCUGUGGCUAAAUGCUGUGCUUGGGCUGGAGUCUGGAGCUAACCCAGGCUUUGCCACCUGACUGAUCCUUGUUGUGUGCAGGCCGUGGUGAGCGCCUGCCACCCCGACAUCCACGCAGGCCGUGGGACACGCUGCCCGGCAUCCUGCCCCCCCCCCCAGUUGUCUUGAGGGACUUCUAAGUGACCCCAAAGUAUGCAAGAACCUGGUGCCAUACCUUGUGGUGCAUCAGUGAAAUGAAGUCUGCAGUCGACGAGCUGGAACGAAACACAGACCAUGGGAGGUGUGCCACAGGCGCUCUCCCCCCACGCUGGGCAGCUGGCGGGAGGGACCCAGUGUCUGGCCUACGGAGAAGACUCGGCCCCCAGGUCUCCCUCACCGUCUGAGAGGCCGUGGGAUUCGUGGAGCCAAGGGCCUGAUUCCUCCCACGGGAAGCUAACAGUACUCCUGCUGGCGGACAUGGGGUCCUUGUGGGGUACCUGCACU